GCUAGCGGCAGGCUUAACACAUGCAAGUCGAGGGGUAUGGUUCUUCGGAACCAGAGACCGGCGCACGGGUGCGUAACGCGUAUGCAAUCUGCCUUUUACAGAGGGAUAGCCCAGAGAAAUUUGGAUUAAUACCUCAUAGUAUAGUACAGCCGCAUGGCUGAACUAUUAAAGCUCAGCCGGUAAAGGAUGGGCAUGCGGUUGAUUAGCUAGUUGGUGAGGUAAUGGCUCACCAAGGCUUCGAUCAAUAGGGGGUCUGAGAGGAUGUCCCCCCACACUGGUACUGAGACACGGACCAGACUCCUACGGGAGGCAGCAGUAGGGAAUAUUGGACAAUGGGCGCAAGCCUGAUCCAGCCAUGCCGCGUGCAGGAUGAAGGCCCUAUGGGUCGUAAACUGCUUUUGUACGGGAAGAAACGUCACUACGUGUAGUGAUUUGACGGUACCGUGAGAAUAAGGAUCGGCUAACUUCGUGCCAGCAGCCGCGGUAAUACGAAGGAUCCAAGCGUUGUCCGGAUUUACUGGGUUUAAAGGGAGCGUAGGCGGACUUUUAAGUCAGUGGUGAAAGCUUGCAGCUUAACUGUAAAAUUGCCAUUGAAACUGAAAGUCUCGAGUAUGGUUGAGGUGACUGGAAUAUAUCAUGUAGCGGUGAAAUGCUUAGAUAUGAUAUAGAACACCAAUUGCGAAGGCAGGUCACUAAACCAUAACUGACGCUGAGGCUCGAAAGCGU
Molecule: ribosomal RNA, 726 nt
Filed under: uncultured soil bacterium
Lineage: Bacteria
Description: bacterial SSU rRNA
Rfam family: Bacterial small subunit ribosomal RNA
Source: RNAcentral